UACGUAGGGUGCAAGCGUUGUCCGGAAUUAUUGGGCGUAAAGAGCUUGUAGGCGGUUUGUCGCGUCUGCUGUGAAAACUCGGGGCUUAACUCCGGGCCUGCAGUGGGUACGGGCAGACUAGAGUGCGGUAGGGGAGACUGGAAUUCCUGGUGUAGCGGUGAAAUGCGCAGAUAUCAGGAGGAACACCGGUGGCGAAGGCGGGUCUCUGGGCCGUAACUGACGCUGAGGAGCGAAAGCGUGGGGAGCGAACAGG
RNAcentral lists this ribosomal RNA (253 nucleotides) under uncultured bacterium. Its description in RNAcentral is "partial 16S ribosomal RNA". It matches the Rfam family "Bacterial small subunit ribosomal RNA", at positions 524 to 776 of the family's 1533-position model. The record is from RNAcentral.